GCGGCAGGUAGGGCCGGGGAGCUAGCCCUUCCCUGUAACCCGAAAUGGGCUACAUGCGGGGGCCAGUAACCUGGGGGGGCGCUUGCGGAGAGAGGAGGCACGGCAGCAGCCCGGGGAGAUGAGGCGCGCCCACGCAGGGCCUCGUAGGAGGCUGCCCCAUCCGUAGGGAUGGGCAACAGCCUCCGAGCACGCCGAACCGCGUUAGGCCCGGGAGGGAGCGGCGCUAAGGCGUGGCGGGGCCGCUGCGUGGAUCCGUGCUGGAUUCCCGGCUGCUGCUCUAGGUCUCCUCUCUCCCUUGCCACCCCCUGGGGGCUGCCGC
Molecule: signal recognition particle RNA, 319 nt
Filed under: Nitrososphaerota archaeon
Lineage: Archaea; Thermoproteati; Nitrososphaerota
Description: Thaumarchaeota archaeon signal recognition particle sRNA
Rfam family: Archaeal signal recognition particle RNA
Source: RNAcentral